RNAcentral lists this ribosomal RNA (253 nucleotides) under uncultured bacterium. RNAcentral describes it as "partial 16S ribosomal RNA". It matches the Rfam family "Bacterial small subunit ribosomal RNA", at positions 524 to 776 of the family's 1533-position model. The record is from RNAcentral.
UACAGAGGUCUCGAGCGUUGUUCGGAUUCAUUGGGCGUAAAGGGCGCGUAGGCGGCGGGGUAAGUCUGGUGUGAAAUCUCGGAGCUCAACUCCGAAAUUGCACUGGAUACUGCUCUGCUUGAGGGUUGGAGAGGAGAUCGGAAUUCACGGUGUAGCAGUGAAAUGCGUAGAUAUCGUGAGGAAGACCAGUGGCGAAGGCGGAUCUCUGGACAAAUCCUGACGCUGAGGCGCGAAGGCUAGGGGAGCAAACGGG